Homarus americanus (American lobster) is the source of this 4217-nucleotide long non-coding RNA. RefSeq lists it as uncharacterized. The transcript has 2 exons. The record is from RefSeq and is a predicted model, not a curated record. Lineage: Eukaryota; Metazoa; Arthropoda; Malacostraca; Decapoda; Nephropidae.
GGAAAAGGAGGAGAAGGAAAAGGAGGAGGAGGAGAAUGAAGAGGAGGCGGAGGAAGAGGAGGAGAAGGAAGAAGAUAAAUCUAAUCUUCCUUCAACAUCCUCCUACAAGAGAGAGUCCAGAUCUACAGCAGCAGCCAACACACAGACCAAACACACCUUCUCUCGUUUACCACUACUUGGGUUGACGGGGCAGCAGGCGCUCAGUGACCACCACACUCCAUCACCUCUGCCGGACAAGUUACCGCCUAUUAUUGACAAGGCCGUUACUGCCUUUCCUCCCUUCAGCAAAGACAGUGUGAGCAUCCAGGAAGACGGGCUCCUGAGGGUGGCAGGCUGGAGGAGAGGUCUUCCUUACCCUAAAGUCGACAUUCCCUCCUCCUCCCCCGCCCUCUCUGGUCUCCCGUUCUACAUCAGAGAACAGAAAGACCUAGGACCUUUCUUCAUGGUUUCUCUCUCUUAAGAUACACCGAAUUAAGUGUCUUGUGCCCCUAAUACCAUAAAGACCAACACAAGAUAACUAUUAUAUGCAGUGUGAAUCGAUGGAACGAAACAUGAACUUUUACAGUGAACGUUAACAAAGGCCUUCACCUAAGACAUGAUGAAUAAUACAGUGUUAGUGAGAUGUGACGAGCUGGUGGUGACAUACUGUGUAAUUCUGUUCACCACCUACUGUACUUAACCACGUACAGUACCUCCACGUACAGUAUCAACACCCCGGUGAUAGUGAUAGUGAAGUAACACUCUGGUGAUAGUGACAAUUAGUGAUGAAGAUGAAGAUAGUGAAGAGACUGAUAGUGAUAUAUUAACUUGUAACGACACUACUCAACUGCCCCCUGGUGUUAAUAUAAAGUAUAUUCACCGUUGACCUUUUAGUGUGUGAGAAAGCUUGCGUUACAGCAGGUGGCUAGUCACGACGAAAGGCUUCAUACUGUGUUUGUAAAUGUGUAUAUACAGUACAAUUAAGUGAAGGAUCCUUUAAGAAAAUGGAUAUAAAAAAAUAUAUAAAUCUAUGUAUAAUGCUGGUAGUAUCUUUAGUAGGUGUAUAGUUGGUCCUCUCACCAGUCUGUGUACGGGUCCAAUAACCUGUGUUAAGGACUACAAGCCUCCAACUCACUUUAAUAACUCUAAAUGUUUCAGAGCAGAUCCAAACCUUCAGAGUUGGAUUAAUACUUGAUUAUGGAGCCACACUUACACCACAGGCGUCGCUCCUCCUCUAUACACUUACACAGAGGCUCUAACUACAGCACCAUGCUAAGUAUGAAGCCCUGAUAUCAGCCCUUACUGUACACACCUCGGUAUGGCUUGAUAACCUUCACACACACACACACACACACACACACACACACACACACACACACACACACACACACAGAGUAAUAUUAGGAACUAUUGAGUAUAAAUUAAGUGCCUUUUCUUAUAUAUUUCCAGGAAUAAUGUUAUCAGUUGUAACUUGUAUGCACACCUAAUAGGAAAGUUAUGGUGUGUGUUGUGUCGUGAGUGAGUUGAAGGCUGGUGCGCCACAUCACCACCACACCAUGCGCCACACCAUGCACCACAUACUCCCACCACAACUUGUACACUCCCUCAGAGGACCCAAACUCAUGAGUGAUUUGUUUACCGUCACAGUAAUAAACAACAGACGUUACCAUGAACCACCUUAUUACUUCAGCCAAACUAUCAUAAACUGUAGUGACUGAGUGAUGAUGAAAAAUUGGUGGCCACACUGACCCACAAUUAUCAACAAGAUGAGUGUUGAUGAGACGUGAGCAGCAGUAACAGUAUAAUGGCCAAAGGUACUGUUCACGAUAACAGUAUAAUGGCCAAAGGUACUGUACACGAUAACAGUAUAAUGGCCAAAGGUACUGUACACGAUAACAGUAUAAUGGCCAAAGGUACUGUACACGAUAACAGUAUAAUGGCCAAAGGUACUGUACACGAUAACAGUAUAAUGGCCAAAGGUACUGUACACGAUAACAGUAUAAUGGCCAAAGGUACUGUACACGAUAACAGUAUAAUGGCCAAAGGUACUGUUCACGAUAACAGUAUAAUGGCCAAAGGUACUGUACACGAUAACAGUAUAAUGGCCAAAGGUACUGUACACAAUAACAGUAUAAUGGCCAAAGGUACUGUACACGAUAACAGUAUAAUGGCCAAAGGUACUGUACAAAGUGUUCUUAAUGUACAGAGAUACUUUGGUACAACGAAAAUAAGGAGUGUAUAAGUGUAGCCUACUGUAGCGUUAAUAGAAUGAUCUACCACACUGUAUUUUAUUACCCCUUGUACUGUAGUUAUGUAAGAACCAAGACAGACAGACAGACAGUCGGUCAACUUUACGGAAAUUAACUGAUCACUGAAUAAACAAUCGAACUUAAAAUAUAAAUAAAUAAUUGAAAUGUCAUACUUACCCUAGUCCAGCACAACACUGCUCCACACUUACCUGCAGAAAAUAGUCUUUAUAAUACAGUAAUAAUAAUAAUAAAAGAAGUACUGUAUGUCUGUUUCAUCCCCAGUAUAGUAUUUACCAUCAAAAUAUAACAGUGGCUACCAUAGCUUCGUGUUAGGUCAAACAAUUAUCCCCUAGACGAAUAUAGUUGUUUUGUCUUGAAAUAAUUAUCAGGUUAAUUAAGGUCAUAGGAGGUUUAAAUAUUACUAUGAGCCCCACACAAUCCAAGUUAAUUUCUUGUAUACUGUAUUUGAUUAGUGAAGUCCGCUACAAUGGUUUCCCGCCAGACCUCCCUUCACUUGAUGUACUUGCUUCGGCAGUACAUAUACUAAAAUUGGAACGAUACAGAGAAGAUUAGCAUGGCCCCUGCGCAAGGAUGACACGCAAAAUCGUGAAGCGUUCCACAUUUUUGCCCGCAUUAUUGUGUUUUAACAAUAACUCAACACAAACUGACCACAAGAUAUUAUAUAAUAAAAUAAAUAAGAUAAAUAUCAGGGAGGUGCCGGACAAGGCUUCACUGAGAGGGUUCGAGCCUGGAGGCUGCGUCACACUGCUGUACGUUAUAAGUCGUUAUAUACAAGUUCAUACAAGAUCAAAUCUAUUGUUCUUUCGAUACAAACGACAAUCCCAAUUUAUUAAAAAAAAAUACUGUUUAUGUUCGUCUACUGUAACUACAAUUAUGUUUAAACUACAACUAUGUUUUUCACUUCCUGGCAUCACAGAAGACUUUAAAAUUCAAAUUUAUUUCGAGAUAAUGAUAAAAUAGAUAACCUUUUCAAACGUACUUAAAAAAACCCACAAGAUUAUGUUGGUCGUCACUGGUUCAAAUCGUAGCCUGCUGAACCAGCGUUAAACUUGUGUGACGAGUUGACUGAAUAUUUGUUUAUCUAUAUAGCUAUGGUAGGACCACUCCCCACCAACACCCACGUGUAGAUGACCAGCAGAAACAACAGGCUCUCCCGUCGGUGGUGAAAGCUUGUGUUUGGUUGUACUGUAUUAUGUAAUUCUACUGUAGAUGAAAGGUUUCUUCCUCGUCGUCCAGUUACCCAUGGUGGCAGAGCUCUCACUACUUCAUGUUAAAAACAAUAUUCAUAUUAGACUUGAGUUAGUCAGUAAUAUUUACCAUAGUUAUCCUUACAUAUAAAAUAGAAUAAUACUCAUUUUCUUUUACAAUAUUGUACACUCACUGCAGGAAGGACUUCGUUACACUAGUUCUCUGUUUGUGUGUCAUGGUCCCGUACUUGUACAGUAUUCUUAAUGUAAGUCUAUUACAACAGUAAUAGUGAACAUUAAAGUGUUACAUUAGUGUUGAUAUUAAACAAAGGUCUCUCCUAGAAAUAAACACCUGAGAGCUUUGUCUGUCAUCCUUCACCUGCACUGUCUCGGCACACACGAAACUCUAUCACCACGCUCUAUAGACACCGUGUACCUGUAUUGUCUGUGUUCAUGCUGAGAUGUAUACCUGUACAGCUUAUAUACUGUACAUACAGUACCAAUUAUAAACUUGUAAGACAAUUUUACUGAUUAAAUAUUAAUAUUAAGAGUACCUUCCUAAAUGACCUACACAAUGAUUAUUAAAAGUGGGACGUACUGUACAUAGUUCGUUUGUCAGUUCGGGAUCACUGAUUCCCAACAAUGGUUUCCCGCCAGACCUCCCUUCACUUGAUGUACUUGCUUCGGCAGUACAUAUACUAAAAUUGGAACGAUACAGAGAAGAUUAGCAUGGCCCCUGCGCAAGGAUGACACGCAAAAUCGUGAAGCGUUCCACAUUUUU